UUUCCGUAGGUGAACCUGCGGAAGGAUCAUUAUUGUAUAACCGAGGUGCGAGGGCUGUCGCUGACCCGAAAGGUCGUGCACGCCCGAGUGCCCUCACACAUCCAUCUCACCCCUAUGUGCACCACCGCGUGGGUCCCCCUUUGGCUUGUUCGGAGGGGGGCUUACGUUUUCACACAAACUUUGUAUGCAGUGUAGAAUGUAUUUUUUGUUUUUGCGAUCACGUAAUCAAUACAACUUUCAACAACGGAUCUCUUGGCUCUC
Molecule: unclassified non-coding RNA, 261 nt
Filed under: plant metagenome
Description: partial contains small subunit ribosomal RNA, internal transcribed spacer 1, and 5.8S ribosomal RNA
Source: RNAcentral